ACGCUGGCGGCAGGCUUAACACAUGCAAGUCGAACGGUAGCAGGAGAAAGCUUGCUUUCUUGCUGACGAGUGGCGGACGGGUGAGUAAUGCUUGGGAAUCUGGCUUAUGGAGGGGGAUAACUACGGGAAACUGUAGCUAAUACCGCGUAGAAUCGGAAGAUGAAAGUGCGGGACCGUAAGGCCGCAUGCCAUGAGAUGAGCCCAAGUGGGAUUAGGUAGUUGGUGGGGUAAAGGCCUACCAAGCCUGCGAUCUCUAGCUGGUCUGAGAGGAUGGCCAGCCACACUGGAACUGAGACACGGUCCAGACUCCUACGGGAGGCAGCAGUGGGGAAUAUUGCGCAAUGGGGGGAACCCUGACGCAGCCAUGCCGCGUGAAUGAAGAAGGCCUUCGGGUUGUAAAGUUCUUUCGGUAUUGAGGAAGGUUGAUGUGUUAAUAGUACAUCAAAUUGACGUUAAAUACAGAAGAAGCACCGGCUAACUCCGUGCCAGCAGCCGCGGUAAUACGGAGGGUGCGAGCGUUAAUCGGAAUAACUGGGCGUAAAGGGCACGCAGGCGGUUAUUUAAGUGAGGUGUGAAAGCCCCGGGCUUAACCUGGGAAUUGCAUUUCAGACUGGGUAACUAGAGUACUUUAGGGAGGGGUAGAAUUCCACGUGUAGCGGUGAAAUGCGUAGAGAUGUGGAGGAAUACCGAAGGCGAAGGCAGCCCCUUGGGAAUGUACUGACGCUCAUGUGCGAAAGCGUGGGGAGCAAACAGGAUUAGAUACCCUGGUAGUCCACGCUGUAAACGCUGUCGAUUUGGGGAUUGGGCUUAAAGCUUGGUGCCCGUAGCUAACGUGAUAAAUCGACCGCCUGGGGAGUACGGCCGCAAGGUUAAAACUCAAAUGAAUUGACGGGGGCCCGCACAAGCGGUGGAGCAUGUG
Molecule: ribosomal RNA, 919 nt
Filed under: uncultured bacterium
Lineage: Bacteria
Description: bacterial SSU rRNA
Rfam family: Bacterial small subunit ribosomal RNA
Source: RNAcentral